This 206-nucleotide ribosomal RNA is filed under the name uncultured bacterium. Its description in RNAcentral is "partial 16S ribosomal RNA". It matches the Rfam family "Bacterial small subunit ribosomal RNA", at positions 568 to 774 of the family's 1533-position model. The record is from RNAcentral.
AGCGCAGGUGGUUGUAUAAGUCUGAAGUAAAAAGGCAGUGGCUCAACCAUUGUGUGCUUUGGAAACUGUACAACUUGAGUGCAGAAGGGGAGAGUGGAAUUCCAUGUGUAGCGGUGAAAUGCGUAGAUAUAUGGAGGAACACCGGUGGCGAAAGCGGCUCUCUGGUCUGUAACUGACACUGAGGCUGAAAGCGUGGGGAGCAAACA